GACGAACGCUGGCGGCGUGCCUAAUACAUGCAAGUCGAGCGAUGAAGAUUGGUGCUUGCACCAAUUUGAAGAGCAGCGAACGGGUGAGUAACGCGUGGGGAAUCUGCCUUUGAGCGGGGGACAACAUUUGGAAACGAAUGCUAAUACCGCAUAACAACUUUAAACAUAAGUUUUAAGUUUGAAAGAUGCAAUUGCAUCACUCAAAGAUGAUCCCGCGUUGUAUUAGCUAGUUGGUGAGGUAAAGGCUCACCAAGGCGAUGAUACAUAGCCGACCUGAGAGGGUGAUCGGCCACAUUGGGACUGAGACACGGCCCAAACUCCUACGGGAGGCAGCAGUAGGGAAUCUUCGGCAAUGGACGAAAGUCUGACCGAGCAACGCCGCGUGAGUGGAGAAGGUUUUCGGAUCGUAAAACUCUGUUGGUAGAGAAGAACGUUGGUGAGAGUGGAAAGCUCAUCAAGUGACGGUAACUACCCAGAAAGGGACGGCUAACUACGUG
Molecule: ribosomal RNA, 497 nt
Filed under: uncultured bacterium
Lineage: Bacteria
Description: partial 16S ribosomal RNA
Rfam family: Bacterial small subunit ribosomal RNA
Source: RNAcentral